CUAUCAGCUUGUUGGUGAGGUAACGGCUCACCAAGGCUUUGACGGGUAGCUGGUCUGAGAGGACGACCAGCCACACUGGAACUGAGACACGGUCCAGACACCUACGGGUGGCAGCAGUCGAGAAUUUUUCACAAUGGGGGAAACCCUGAUGGAGCGACGCCGCGUGGAGGAUGAAAGUCUUCGGAUCGUAAACUCCUGUCAUGCGGGAACAAGAAAGUGAUAGUACCGCAAGAGGAAGAGACGGCUAACUCUGUGCCAGCAGCCGCGGUAAUACAGAGGUCUCAAGCGUUGUUCGGAUUCAUUGGGCGUAAAGGGUGCGCAGGCGGCGUGGUAAGUUGAGUGUGAAAUCCCGGGGCUUAACCUCGGAACUGCACUCAAUACUGCCAUGCUAGAGGAAUGUAGGGGAGACUGGAAUUCCU
This 419-nucleotide ribosomal RNA is filed under the name uncultured Verrucomicrobiota bacterium. RNAcentral describes it as "bacterial SSU rRNA". It matches the Rfam family "Bacterial small subunit ribosomal RNA", at positions 238 to 671 of the family's 1533-position model. Lineage: Bacteria; Pseudomonadati; Verrucomicrobiota. The record is from RNAcentral.